RNAcentral lists this ribosomal RNA (817 nucleotides) under Arthrobacter sp. N13_1. RNAcentral describes it as "bacterial SSU rRNA". It matches the Rfam family "Bacterial small subunit ribosomal RNA", at positions 67 to 895 of the family's 1533-position model. The record is from RNAcentral. Lineage: Bacteria; Bacillati; Actinomycetota; Actinomycetes; Micrococcales; Micrococcaceae.
CGAUGAUCCCAGCUUGCUGGGGGAUUAGUGGCGAACGGGUGAGUAACACGUGAGUAACCUGCCCUUAACUCUGGGAUAAGCCUGGGAAACUGGGUCUAAUACCGGAUAUGACUCCUCAUCGCAUGGUGGGGGGUGGAAAGCUUUAUUGUGGUUUUGGAUGGACUCGCGGCCUAUCAGCUUGUUGGUGAGGUAAUGGCUCACCAAGGCGACGACGGGUAGCCGGCCUGAGAGGGUGACCGGCCACACUGGGACUGAGACACGGCCCAGACUCCUACGGGAGGCAGCAGUGGGGAAUAUUGCACAAUGGGCGAAAGCCUGAUGCAGCGACGCCGCGUGAGGGAUGACGGCCUUCGGGUUGUAAACCUCUUUCAGUAGGGAAGAAGCGAAAGUGACGGUACCUGCAGAAGAAGCGCCGGCUAACUACGUGCCAGCAGCCGCGGUAAUACGUAGGGCGCAAGCGUUAUCCGGAAUUAUUGGGCGUAAAGAGCUCGUAGGCGGUUUGUCGCGUCUGCCGUGAAAGUCCGGGGCUCAACUCCGGAUCUGCGGUGGGUACGGGCAGACUAGAGUGAUGUAGGGGAGACUGGAAUUCCUGGUGUAGCGGUGAAAUGCGCAGAUAUCAGGAGGAACACCGAUGGCGAAGGCAGGUCUCUGGGCAUUAACUGACGCUGAGGAGCGAAAGCAUGGGGAGCGAACAGGAUUAGAUACCCUGGUAGUCCAUGCCGUAAACGUUGGGCACUAGGUGUGGGGGACAUUCCACGUUUUCCGCGCCGUAGCUAACGCAUUAAGUGCCCCGCCUGGGGAGUACGGCCGCAAGGCU